AUGCUCUUUUGCAUCAAUAUAUAUUGCUUUGUGUUGUUAUCGUUUCUUAAGUAAAAAUAUUUAUGUGAACAAUUUUUUGAAAAUUAAAAUAGAGAAACAUUCAAGAACAUUUGUGCCUCUGCACGAUUUUGUCUUUAAGAUAUGCUUAAACAAGUAACACAAAUUUCUAAAGGAAUAGAGUUCUGUUGCAAUUUGAAAGACUUUUACAGCAACUUUUGCCAAAAUGAUCUUUACUCUAAGAUUAAAUUAGCUUAACAGUGUGGAUGAAUUAUUAGUUUUCAAACUUUUUUCUUUUUUGAAUGGCUAUGUUAUCAGAUUAACAGUGAUACAAUACAACUUUAAUCUCUGUUAAUUUAAAGAACCAUUGGACUGAAGAUAAAAAAUAAACUCCAUGUAAUUUAUAAGGAAUAUUAAAAAUGAAAUCCAUGUAAUUUUGAUCAGGUAAUGCUUGAUUUUGGUUUAAAUUAGGCUCACGGUUCACUCAUAGUAGGUAUUGGAUUUGAUUUCUCAUGAUGAUCUACCUAAGGUUCUCGUUUCUCAAGCUGUUUAAAUUCAAUGUAAAUGCUCAGCUUUAAUGAAAUGAGUAGAAUGAUUGAUAUGGUUUAGUUAAUAAGUCUACAGAUAGAAAUUAACUAACCUGUUCCAAUAAAGGAUGUGAAUCUGGUAGUUCAUACCUGCAUCAAAUCAGUUUGUUGAGAAGAUAAAAUGUAGCACAUCUCUUAAGAAUUACUCUGUAAAUGUAACUCCAUUGUGUUGCUAGUAUAGUUUUCUUAACACAGCUUUCAAGAAUAUUAAUUGGGCAGUGGCUAUGAAUACUAAUUCAGGAAUAGAGAUUAUUACUGGUUUAAGCUUUAGCGUGCUGAAAACUGACUUCGUAUGCUACGUAAGAAUGUAAUUACACUUGGUCUGUUCGGAGUCUACUGACAUUCCUCAGUUUAGGUAUAGGGAUGGAGGCAGCUUCUGGAUUCAAGGCAACCAAAGCCUUGGACAUGUCACCCUCUUGGAGCUCCAUGUUCUAUGUUAGAGAGAAUUAAGUACAUACUGUUUGCUUAUAUUUGGAACCUCUAAAGAGGGACCACUAUAAUAGUUUCUAAUAGCAGCAACCCUUUUUCUCUAUGGUACUUGUGUGUUCAACUUGAUUUUUGUUUCUUGCGUUCUUUAUAUUUUUUGUUAUCUUUAUUUUGCAGUGGUUUAACACAGUCAAAUCUACAAGGAGCUGUAUGUUCUUUAUGAAAGUACAAAGUCUAAUGCCAAAUUGCCAAUGUUUAUUAUUUGUUUUAGUUUAAUGAAAAGUACAAAGACAAAGGCAAAGAGAAAGCAAUCUACAGGGGUAAUAUUAGGAGAUGAUGUUUUGAAUUUGGUGAUUGAGGCAAGUGUGGAUCACUCUCUUGUUAUGGCUCUUGUGACUGGAUAUGGUUUAAUGCAGAGAAAGAUGUAAAUAACGACUACUGCAAUACAAUUUUUCAUUAGAUUUUCUUUUUCUUUUUUCUUUUUUGGGGGUGGGAAUUUGAACAAUUUUGUCCCCAGAUUAUAUAUUGAUGUGUAUGUUCAAAAUCUAAAGGUAAAGGGAAUUUGUAUAAAUUGCCACAAUGUUUGACAGUUAAGUUAUUAUUAGAUUAUACUACUUUCAUGUAUGUGGCCAACAAAUUAAAUUUAAACAAGUUAGAAACCAUUAAUUUCCA
This is a long non-coding RNA of Cannabis sativa, 1682 nucleotides long. RefSeq lists it as uncharacterized. The record is from RefSeq and is a predicted model, not a curated record. The transcript is spliced from 2 exons. Lineage: Eukaryota; Viridiplantae; Streptophyta; Magnoliopsida; Rosales; Cannabaceae.